This 888-nucleotide ribosomal RNA is filed under the name Triticum aestivum (bread wheat). RNAcentral's name for it is "partial small subunit ribosomal RNA". The record is from RNAcentral. Lineage: Eukaryota; Viridiplantae; Streptophyta; Magnoliopsida; Poales; Poaceae.
AUGUCGUCGGCGACAGGGCCGGUGGUGGACGCGGAGUACGUGGCCGAGAUCGAGAGGGCGCGCCGGGACCUCCGCGCGCUCAUCGCCAGCAAGAGCUGCGCCCCCAUCAUGCUCCGCCUCGCAUGGCAUGACGCCGGCACCUUCGACAAGAACACCAUCACCGGAGGCCCCGACGGCUCCAUCAGGUUCCCGGAGGAGCUCCGCCACGCCGCCAAUGCAGGGCUCAAGAUCGCCGUCGACCUUCUUGAGCCAAUUAAGCAGAAGCACCCCAAGAUCACGUACGCCGACCUGUACCAGCUCGCCGGAGUCGUGGCCGUCGAGGUCACCGGUGGACCAACCAUAGAUUUCGUCCCCGGCAGGAGGGAUUCUUCAGUUGCCAUUGAGGAAGGACGCUUGCCAGAUGCUAAGCAAGGUGCUUCACACCUCAGGGAAGUUUUCUACCGAAUGGGCUUGACCGACAAGGACAUAGUGGCACUCUCGGGUGGCCAUACUCUGGGGAAAGCUCGUCCCGACAGAUCGGGAUUCGACGGUGCUUGGACAAAAGAUCCACUGAAGUUCGACAACUCCUACUUCGUUGAGCUUCUGAAAGGGGACUCUAAUGGGCUACUCAAGCUGCCUACAGACAAGGUUCUCGUGGAAGAUACCGAUUUUCGUCGCUUCGUUGAAUUAUACGCAAAGGAUGAGGAUGCCUUCUUCAGGGACUACGCAGAGUCACACAAGAAGCUUUCCGAGCUCGGGUUCACGCCUUCUCGCGCUACCCUACUGGCGUGGGGGUGCAGAGACAAAGCCAAGAGGGCUGUCACGAGAACUACCGCUGUCUUUGCGGUUGCGGUUGCCGUCAUCGCCUGCGCUUACAUCUGUGAAUCCAAGAGGAGGCUCAGUGGUUAA